UUCGCAAUGCCCGAAAGGGUGAACGAGCGACGCCGCGUGCGGGAUGAAGGGUUUCGGCUUGUAAACCGCUUUUCUUUGGGAAGAAGGUCUGUCUCGUGAAGAUGGGCUCGACGGUACCAGAGGAAUAAGCCUCGGCUAACUCCGUGCCAGCAGCCGCGGUAAGACGAACCGUCCAAACGUUAUUCGGAAUCACUGGGCUUAAAGGGUGCGUAGGCGGCUCGACAAGUUGGGUGUGAAAGCCCUCGGCUCAACCGAGGAAUUGCGCCCAAAACUGUCGGGCUUGAGGAAGACAGAGGUGAGCGGAACUUAGGGUGGAGCGGUGAAAUGCGUUGAUAUCCUAGGGAACACCAGUAGCGAAAGCGGCUCACUGGGUCUUUUCUGACGCUGAUGCACGAAAGCUAGGGGAGCGAAGAGGAUUAGAUACCCUCGUAGUCCUAGCCGUAAACGAUGGGCACUAAGUAGAGGGGUUUU
This 471-nucleotide ribosomal RNA is filed under the name uncultured anaerobic ammonium-oxidizing bacterium. RNAcentral's name for it is "bacterial SSU rRNA". It matches the Rfam family "Bacterial small subunit ribosomal RNA", at positions 364 to 832 of the family's 1533-position model. The record is from RNAcentral.